CCUAAGCAUCAAUUUUCCGUGACAGGACGCCUUAGUCGCUUCAGUAACAUCAUAACUCCACCUGAUUUUAGGCAGAGGAGGAUGUAAUCGGAGCUGAGAGAAUCAAAGUCGAGAUUAGAUAGAGAAUUGGUGGGACCGGAUGGAGUUCGGGGCUCCUUGGUCAAAACAGAAAAUAAAAGAAACUCUAAGAGCUUCCGGCGAUCUCGGCGGUAACGCUGCAAAAGAGCUACAGCUCGAGAGAGAGAGAAAGAGAGAGAGACGGGGGUUUUCAACGAGGUUUUAGAAGAUUUGUCUCAUGUAUUUGUUGCAAACUCUGAGUAGAGAUUAAAUUCACAAAUGGCUUUUACUGACGGACGGGAGGAGAUGACCGAACGGUACCCUAUAUUCCCGGUUUGC
RNAcentral lists this unclassified non-coding RNA (396 nucleotides) under Hevea brasiliensis (rubber tree). The record is from RNAcentral. Lineage: Eukaryota; Viridiplantae; Streptophyta; Magnoliopsida; Malpighiales; Euphorbiaceae.